This 1607-nucleotide long non-coding RNA is filed under the name Medicago truncatula (barrel medic). Its description in RNAcentral is "lncRNA gene46941". The record is from RNAcentral. Lineage: Eukaryota; Viridiplantae; Streptophyta; Magnoliopsida; Fabales; Fabaceae.
UCAAAAACCUCAAUUAUAAAUAUGACUUUUGGAGUCAUUAGGAUUAUUAUUUUCCAUCACAACUUUAGUCACCAAAGUGAAACUAUAUACUCAAACAUUCAAACACUCAUAACUUUCUAUUGAUUAAUGAAAUUCAAUUCCAUCCAUUGCGUUAUACCUUUAGGAUCAAAAGAAUCUCAUAACAUGUUUCGGGUUUCUGAAGUUUACAUUGUGAAUUGAGCGGCCAAGUUUCAGUUAGGUUUUACAACCACUAGAGUUAUCACUCCAUCCCAUCUUCGCCAGAGAUGAGCAUGAGUGCGAGUUCUUAGUGAUUUAGAGUUAGGAUUACUUGAGUGAUGCUUCAAGCUCACCUCAUUCCUUGUUGGAUUGCAAUCUUUUAUUAACUAUAUUUUAUCUAUCGAUUUUGAUUUUCAUGUUUUCAUUUCAUUUCAUCUGCAUCUUUGUGGUUAAGCUCAUCAUGAGCUAAACCCCUUCUUGUACAUUAUACAUGAUGAGGUUAUGAUAUUCUUUGCUUAAUAUUUAUAAAUCUAUAACUUCGCGCUUCUUUCAAACAAACUGUUUUAACUCAAAAUCUUUGAAAGUGAAACUUGAUCACUUUAUUUUUUAUGUUAUAGUUCCCUGAGACCGAGAGGGUAUCAAAUUGUAAAAUGUUUGUUUGAUAAGAGUUACGUCUCUACGGACCGAGAAGUGACAGAAACAAGAGAUAUUGUUUUGAACAAAAACUAGAUCUUGGAAGAGUCUGAAGCGCUGAGAUCUAAUUAGGACUCUUGUCAAAGGCAAUGAUUCAUCCUUUACCAUCGUUGUUGAGUUACUUAUGACAUAACCUAGUAAUUUGGCAUGCUAAGUAGUUUGAUUGUACCCCGAGAGGUGUGUCUUUACAAGCAUAACACGACAGCUGAGUCGAAAGACCUCAAAGGCCACCAGGUUAUGUGAUUGACAGACACUUGACAUCAGGUUAUUGCUCUUUUAUUUGGAGAAACUUGGUUACUUGGAGGAGUAAAAAGCAACCUGUUGUAUCUCGUAGUUCGACAGAAGCCGAAUUUAGAGCUUUGUCUCAAGGUAUUUGUGAGGGAAUAUGGUUAAAAAGGGUGUUUCAUGAAAUUGGAGUCAUCAAUUAUGUUCCUAUAAAGGUGUUGUGUGAUAGUCAGUCUACCAUCAACAUUGCUAAGAAUCCAGUUCAUCACGACAUGACAAAACAUCUCGAGAUUGAUCGUCAAUUUAUUAAAGAAAAAAUUGAAAAUGGGACUUUAUCACUUUAAUAUACUCUUACAAGUCAACAACCUGCAGACAUUCUCACCAAAGCAGUACCAAGAAAAACCUUUGACAAGCUUAUAUCCAAGCUAGGAUUGUUCAACAUCUACAACCUAGCUUGAGGGGGAGUGUGGAAAUAUGCCACAAAUUAUUAGCAUUAUUUAUUUCCUAGAAUAAGAGGGAUCUGGGAAUUAUAUUACUUUGACCCUUCAUAGUUUAUUUCCAUUUUCAUUCUCCAUGUUUACGAGGAGUUAUUUUUGUUUAUGAGUAGUCAUUGUAUUUACUUUUCUGUUUCCUAGACUGAUGGUGGUUGUGUGCCUGAUCCCUCUAUUUAAACCUUGUAACUAUUUUAUUCC